Molecule: ribosomal RNA, 281 nt
Filed under: uncultured bacterium
Lineage: Bacteria
Description: partial 16S ribosomal RNA
Rfam family: Bacterial small subunit ribosomal RNA
Source: RNAcentral
GUGCCUAACACAUGCAAGUCGAACGAGGUAGCAAUACCUAGUGGCAGACGGGUGAGUAACACGUAGUCAACCUACCUUUUAGUGGGGGAUAACUAGCCGAAAGGUUAGCUAAUACCGCAUACGCUCUUCGAGUGGCAUCACUUGAGGAUGAAAGCAGCAAUGCGCUAAGAGACGGGACUGCGUCCCAUUAGUUAGUUGGUGGGGUAAUGGCCUACCAAGACUUCGAUGGGUAGCUGGCUUGAGAGAGCGACCAGCCACACUGGGACUGAGACACGGCCCAG